Molecule: transfer RNA, 21 nt
Filed under: Corvus albus (pied crow)
Lineage: Eukaryota; Metazoa; Chordata; Aves; Passeriformes; Corvidae
Also listed under: 35 other names
Description: partial tRNA-Phe
Source: RNAcentral
GUCCAUGUAGCUUACAACAAA